This 460-nucleotide ribosomal RNA is filed under the name uncultured bacterium. Its description in RNAcentral is "partial 16S ribosomal RNA". It matches the Rfam family "Bacterial small subunit ribosomal RNA", at positions 338 to 795 of the family's 1533-position model. The record is from RNAcentral.
CCUACGGGAGGCAGCAGUGAGGAAUAUUGGUCAAUGGGCGAGAGCCUGAACCAGCCAAGUCGCGUGAAGGAUGACGGCCCUACGGGUUGUAAACUUCUUUUGUCAGGGAGCAAUUGGGCCCACGCGUGUGCUUAUCGGUAGUACCUGAAGAAAAAGCAUCGGCUAACUCCGUGCCCGCAGCCGCGGUAAUACGGAGGGUGCGAGCGUUCUCCGGAUUUAUUGGGUUAAAAGGGUGCGCAGGCGGGCUGUUAAGCCGGCGGUAAAAAUUCAGGGCUCAACCUUGUCGAGCCGUCGGAACUGGCAGUCUGGAGUGGGCGAGAAGUAUGCGGAAUGCGUGGUGUAGCGGUGAAAUGCAUAGAUAUCACGCAGAACGCCGAUUGCGAAGGCAGCAUACCGGCGCCGAACUGACGCUGAGGCACGAAAGCGUGGGGAUCGAACAGGAUUAGAUACCCCUGUAGUC